AUGUUAGCAGCAUGGACACUAAAGCUGGAAUCAAGCAGAGAAGAUCUGCAUGCCCCUGGGCGAGGAAGACAUGCACCUUUGCAAAGCAUUCCACGUUUUC
This is a small nuclear RNA of Heterocephalus glaber (naked mole-rat), 100 nucleotides long. Lineage: Eukaryota; Metazoa; Chordata; Mammalia; Rodentia; Bathyergidae. The record is from Ensembl.